RNAcentral lists this ribosomal RNA (399 nucleotides) under uncultured bacterium. RNAcentral's name for it is "bacterial SSU rRNA". It matches the Rfam family "Bacterial small subunit ribosomal RNA", at positions 28 to 429 of the family's 1533-position model. The record is from RNAcentral.
AUUGAACGCUGGCGGCAUGCUUUACACAUGCAAGUCGAACGGCAGCGGGGGCUUCGGCCUGCCGGCGAGUGGCGAACGGGUGAGUAAUGCAUCGGAACGUGCCCAUGUCGUGGGGGAUAACGUAGCGAAAGCUACGCUAAUACCGCAUACGUCCUGAGGGAGAAAGCGGGGGAUCUUUGGACCUCGCGCGAUUGGAGCGGCCGAUGUCGGAUUAGCUAGUAGGUGAGGUAAAGGCUCACCUAGGCGACGAUCCGUAGCGGGUCUGAGAGGAUGAUCCGCCACACUGGGACUGAGACACGGCCCAGACUCCUACGGGAGGCAGCAGUGGGGGAAUUUUGGACAAUGGGGGCAACCCUGAUCCAGCCAUGCCGCGUGAGUGAAGAAGGCCUCGGUUGUAAG